AAUACAUGCAAGUCGAACGAGUUCUCGUUGAUGAUCGGUGCUUGCACCGAGAUUCAACAUGGAACGAGUGGCGGACGGGUGAGUAACACGUGGGUAACCUGCCCUUAAGUGGGGGAUAACAUUUGGAAACAGAUGCUAAUACCGCAUAGAUCCAAGAACCGCAUGGUUCUUGGCUGAAAGAUGGCGUAAGCUAUCGCUUUUGGAUGGACCCGCGGCGUAUUAGCUAGUUGGUGAGGUAAUGGCUCACCAAGGCGAUGAUACGUAGCCGAACUGAGAGGUUGAUCGGCCACAUUGGGACUGAGACACGGCCCAAACUCCUACGGGAGGCAGCAGUAGGGAAUCUUCCACAAUGGACGCAAGUCUGAUGGAGCAACGCCGCGUGAGUGAAGAAGGCUUUCGGGUCGUAAAACUCUGUUGUUGGAGAAGAAUGGUCGGCAGAGUAACUGUUGUCGGCGUGACGGUAUCCAACCAGAAAGCCACGGCUAACUACGUGCCAGCAGCCGCGGUAAUACGUAGGUGGCAAGCGUUAUCCGGAUUUAUUGGGCGUAAAGCGAGCGCAGGCGGUUUUUUAAGUCUGAUGUGAAAGCCCUCGGCUUAACCGAGGAAGCGCAUCGGAAACUGGGAAACUUGAGUGCAGAAGAGGACAGUGGAACUCCAUGUGUAGCGGUGAAAUGCGUAGAUAUAUGGAAGAACACCAGUGGCGAAGGCGGCUGUCUGGUCUGUAACUGACGCUGAGGCUCGAAAGCAUGGGUAGCGAACAGGAUUAGAUACCCUGGUAGUCCAUGCCGUAAACGAUGAAUGCUAGGUGUUGGAGGGUUUCCGCCCUUCAGUGCCGCAGCUAACGCAUUAAGCAUUCCGCCUGGGGAGUACGACCGCAAGGUUGAAACUCAAAGGAAUUGACGGGGGCCCGCACAAGCGGUGGAGCAUGUGGUUUAAUUCGAAGCAACGCGAAGAACCUUACCAGGUCUUGACAUCUUUUGAUCACCUGAGAGAUCAGGUUUCCCCUUCGGGGGCAAAAUGACAGGUGGUGCAUGGUUGUCGUCAGCUCGUGUCGUGAGAUGUUGGGUUAAGUCCCGCAACGAGCGCAACCCUUAUGACUAGUUGCCAGCAUUUAGUUGGGCACUCUAGUAAGACUGCCGGUGACAAACCGGAGGAAGGUGGGGAUGACGUCAAAUCAUCAUGCCCCUUAUGACCUGGGCUACACACGUGCUACAAUGGAUGGUACAACGAGUUGCGAGACCGCGAGGUCAAGCUAAUCUCUUAAAGCCAUUCUCAGUUCGGACUGUAGGCUGCAACUCGCCUACACGAAGUCGGAAUCGCUAGUAAUCGCGGAUCAGCACGCCGCGGUGAAUACGUUCCCGGGCCUUGUACACACCGCCCGUCACACCAUGAGAGUUUGUAACACCCGAAGCCGGUGGCGUAACCCUUUUAGGGAGCGAGCCGUCUAAGGUGGGACAAAUGAUUAGGGUGAAGUCGUAA
This 1479-nucleotide ribosomal RNA is filed under the name Lacticaseibacillus paracasei subsp. tolerans. RNAcentral describes it as "bacterial SSU rRNA". It matches the Rfam family "Bacterial small subunit ribosomal RNA". Lineage: Bacteria; Bacillati; Bacillota; Bacilli; Lactobacillales; Lactobacillaceae. The record is from RNAcentral.